AACGAUCAUAUCACGUCAAAACACCGGUUCUCGUACGAUCAUCGAAGUUAAGCAAUGUCGAACUUGGUCUGUACCUAGAUCGGUGACCCCUUUAGAAUACCAGGUGCUGUA
Acanthosepion pharaonis is the source of this 111-nucleotide non-coding RNA. The record is from the annotation of a GenBank genome assembly. Lineage: Eukaryota; Metazoa; Mollusca; Cephalopoda; Sepiida; Sepiidae.